AGAACGAACGCUGGCGGCAUGCCUAAUACAUGCAAGUCGAACGAACUCUUCGGAGUUAGUGGCGCACGGGUGCGUAACGCGUGGGAAUCUGCCCCUUGGUUCGGAAUAACAGUUGGAAACGACUGCUAAUACCGGAUGAUGACGAAAGUCCAAAGAUUUAUCGCCAAGGGAUGAGCCCGCGUAGGAUUAGCUAGUUGGUGAGGUAAGGCUCACCAAGGCAACGAUCCUUAGCUGGUCUGAGAGGAUGAUCAGCCACA
RNAcentral lists this ribosomal RNA (257 nucleotides) under uncultured soil bacterium. Its description in RNAcentral is "partial 16S ribosomal RNA". It matches the Rfam family "Bacterial small subunit ribosomal RNA", at positions 26 to 312 of the family's 1533-position model. The record is from RNAcentral.